This 2120-nucleotide ribosomal RNA is filed under the name human gut metagenome. RNAcentral's name for it is "bacterial LSU rRNA". It matches the Rfam family "Bacterial large subunit ribosomal RNA", at positions 187 to 2312 of the family's 2925-position model. The record is from RNAcentral.
AGGGAACUGAAACAUCUUAGUACCUGCAGGAAAAGAAAAUAAAUAAUGAUUCCCCCAGUAGUGGCGAGCGAACGGGGAACAGCCCAAACCAUCCAUGUUACGGCAUGGGUGGGGUUGUAGGACUACGUCGUUGCAUGAAGACAUCAGAGAAGAACUUUCUGGAAAGAAAGACCAUAGAGCAUGACAGUUGCGUAUUCGAAUGUUGUCGAAGCAUAGUAGUAUCCUGAGUAGCGCGGAGCACGAGGAAUUCUGCGUGAAUCUGCCGGGACCAUCCGGUAAGGCUAAAUACUCCCGAGAGACCGAUAGCGAACCAGUACCGUGAGGGAAAGGUGAAAAGCACUUCGAACAGAAGAGUGAAAUAGUUCCUGAAACCGUGCGCCUACAAGCGGUCGGAGCUCGUUAAUGAGUGACGGCGUGCCUUUUGCAUAAUGAACCUACGAGUUGCCUUUGCCGGCAAGGUUAAGUGUGACGACACACGUAUCCGAAGCGAAAGCGAGUCUGAACAGGGCGUAUAGUCGGCAGUGGCAGACGCGAAACCAAGUGAUCUACCCUUGGCCAGGUUGAAGGCUGGGUAACACCAGCUGGAGGACCGCACCAAUAAGCGUUGAAAAGCUUCUGGAUGAGCUGAGGGUAGGGGUGAAAGGCUAAUCAAACUUGGAGAUAGCUCGUACUCCCCGAAAUGCAUUUAGGUGCAGCCUUGACUUAUACUGGCAUGAGGUAGAGCGACUGAUAAGAUGCGAGGGCUUCACCGCCUAUCAAGUCUUGACAAACUCCGAAUGCGCAUCAGUUCUACCGCAGGAGUGAGGGCAUGGGUGCUAAGGUCCGUGCCCGAGAGGAGAAGAAUCCGGACCACCUGCUAAGGUCCCGAAAUGACAGCUAAGUUAAACUAACGAAGUCUGACUGCUAAGACAGCUAGGAUGUUGGCUUGGAAGCAGCCAUUCAUUUAAAGAGUGCGUAACAGCUCACUAGUCGAGGAGUCGGGCGUGGAUAAUAAUCGGGUAUUAAGUUGUCUACCGAAGCAGUGGGAUCAUUAAUAUGAUCGGUAGGGGAGCAUUCCAGUCAGCGUCGAAGGCGUACCGUGAGGUAUUCUGGAGCGUCUGGAAAAGCAAAUGUAGGUAUAAGUAACGAUAAAGGGGGCGGGAAACCCCCUCGCCGAAAGACUAAGGUUUCCUGAUCAACGCUAAUCGGAUCAGGGUCAGUCGGGUCCUAAGGCUCAGCCGAACGGCGAUGCCGAUGGCAGAAACGGUUAAUAUUCCGUUACUACCUUCAGGAGUGACGUGGAGACGCAGUAGUGACAGUGCCGCCAUCUGACGGAAUAGAUGGUUGAAGGGUGUAGGAGUCGAUCAUGGCAGGCAAAUCCACCAUGAGAUCCGAACCUGACAGUAUGCCGCGUCCUUCGGGACAAGGCAAUAGUGCGCGUAAGCAUGCUGCCGAGAAAAUCCGCUAAACUUAAUCCUGCAGGUACCCGUACCGCAAACGGACACACGUAGUCGGGAUGAAUAUUCUAAGGCGCUUGAGUGAUUCACGGUUAAGGAACUAGGCAAACUGACCCUGUAACUUCGGGAUAAAGGGUCCCUACCCUUUUAUGGGAGGGCGCAGAGAAUCGGUCCAGGCAACUGUUUAACAAAAACACAGGGCUGUGCCAAAUCGAAAGAUCCAGUAUACAGCCUGACACCUGCCCGGUGCUGGAAGGUUAAGAGGAGAUGUCAUCGAUAAGAGAAGCGUUGAAUUGAAGCCCCAGUAAACGGCGGCCGUAACUAUAACGGUCCUAAGGUAGCGAAAUUCCUUGUCGGGUAAGUUCCGACCUGCACGAAUGGUGUAAUGAUCUGGACGCUGUCUCAACCGUGAGCUCAGUGAAAUUGUAGUAUCGGUGAAGAUGCCGAUUACCCGCGAUGGGACGAAAAGACCCCGUGAACCUUUACUAUAGCUUAACAUUGAAUUUGGGUAAUUGAUGUGUAGGAUAGGCCGGAGGCUUUGAAGCAGGUACGCCAGUAUUUGUGGAGCCGCUGUUGAAAUACGGCCCUUUGAUUAUUUGAGUUCUAACCCGUUGUAACGGGGACACUGUUUGGUGGGUAGUUUGACUGGGGUGGUCGCCUCCAAAAGCGUAACGGAGGCUUCUA